Molecule: long non-coding RNA, 1242 nt
Filed under: Ursus americanus (American black bear)
Lineage: Eukaryota; Metazoa; Chordata; Mammalia; Carnivora; Ursidae
Description: lncRNA (ENSUAMG00000017726.1)
Source: RNAcentral
UUUCUCCCCUUUUCAGUGGUCAGAUGUCAAUAUCCAGUAGUUGAACAUGGAAAACUGGUAUCAGGAAUCAGAGACAAAUAUUCCUACCAAGCAGUGGUUCUAUUCGAAUGCCUCCCAGGCUUCUAUCUUAAUGGCAGCAACCCAGUGUUCUGUGGUGGGAGAAGUACUUGGGAGCCUGAGAUGCCAAAAUGUAUCAGAGGUUUCAAGCCUACUCAUCCACCCAAACCUCCAGUUUCAAAGUAUCCAGGCUAUCCCGAGCCCAACGACCCAAUAUCACUUGAAGACUUUGAGGAAUUAGGUAUUAUUUUGGCUACUAAUUACUCUGCAUUAUGAGGCCUUGGAGUUCUACACGGACAUAUCUAUCAUGUUCCAAUCAUUCGUAGUUAAGGAAGGAACGAAGUUUCACAAAAUUUGACAUUUAUAGUUUCCAUUUUAGUAGUCCAGAUAAUAUGAUAAACGUAGGUGGUGCUGUGUAUGGAGACCUGUAGGUAAUUUCCUCUAAUCUAGGGAAUUCUGAUAGUCCUGGUAAGCUUUACUAAACAACCUGAUGCAGUCCCAACAGCACAGAACAAUGAACAGUCAGGUUCCAGUGAAAAGAGUUUUACAAGAUGGCUGCUAACCCUGGGAUCUGAUUAGAAGGGAACCGCAAUCAGAGCGAGCUGGACGCGCUAGCGCUCCCGCUGAAACUAGACAAGGAGCAGCUGCUUUGCCGUACGGUGUAGAUGAUCUGGUCAAACUGAACUGCAGCUAUCCUCUGGGAACCUUAUGUGCUCAGUCUUCAAACUGUUUUCAUUGUUCCUCAGAUGCAGGCAUCAUUGCUGUGAUUGUUCUUACCAUUCGUAAGUAGCCCAAACGUGGAUGCCACUUAAAUCAAAAUAUGACUGCAAAGGCGUGCAUUAUUUUUUAAAUGACGUUUCAGCUUCUGUAGUUUAUAUAGCUUGACACGCAGUCCACCAGUCUAGAGCAGCUUGUAUAUGAUACACUACAUUUUACUGGUGAAUGUUCUUUUAUACUGUAUGCGUCCCCUUAGUAACAGACCCUAAAUACUACCUGUCUUCGGGAUGAGUGGUCAUGAGUCUGCGUCCCAAAGAUGCUUUGGGUAAUUUUCCAAACUAAGCAAGGAUUCUUCUCUGGCUUCCUCUGGACUGUUCGAGUGACUCCAGGGAAUGGGCUUUAGAUAGUAGAGAGUCCAGACGGAAUAUAAGUAGAUAUGUGCUUAAAUAAAAUAACAUGUUCUGACCA